GACGAACGCUGGCGGCGUGCCUAAUACAUGCAAGUCGAACGCUUCUUUCCUCCCGAGUGCUUGCACUCAAUUGGAAAGAGGAGUGGCGGACGGGUGAGUAACACGUGGGUAACCUACCCAUCAGAGGGGGAUGACACUUGGAAACAGGUGCUAAUACCGCAUAACAGUUUAUGCCGCAUGGCAUAAGAGUGAAAGGCGCUUUCGGGUGUCGCUGAUGGAUGGACCCGCAGUGCAUUAGCUAGUUGGUGAGGUAACGGCUCACCAAGGCCACGAUGCAUAGCCGACCUGAGAGGGUGAUCGGCCACACUGGGACUGAGACACGGCCCAGACUCCUACGGGAGGCAGCAGUAGGGAAUCUUCGGCAAUGGACGAAAGUCUGACCGAGCAACGCCGCGUGAGUGAAGAAGGUUUUCGGAUCGUAAAACUCUGUUGUUAGAGAAGAACAAGGACGUUAGUAACUGAACGUCCCCUGACGGUAUCUAACCAGAAAGCCACGGCUAACUACGUG
RNAcentral lists this ribosomal RNA (508 nucleotides) under uncultured bacterium. RNAcentral describes it as "partial 16S ribosomal RNA". It matches the Rfam family "Bacterial small subunit ribosomal RNA", at positions 28 to 507 of the family's 1533-position model. The record is from RNAcentral.